RNAcentral lists this ribosomal RNA (268 nucleotides) under uncultured bacterium. Its description in RNAcentral is "partial 16S ribosomal RNA". It matches the Rfam family "Bacterial small subunit ribosomal RNA", at positions 766 to 1037 of the family's 1533-position model. The record is from RNAcentral.
UAAUCAGCUGGGACUUAGAUACCCACGUAGUCCACGCCGUAAACGAUGGUCACUAGCUGUUCGAACUUCGGUUUGAGUGGCUAAGCGAAAGUGAUAAGUGACCCACCUGGGGAGUACGUUCGCAAGAAUGAAACUCAAAGGAAUUGACGGGGGCCCGCACAAGCGGUGGAGCAUGUGGUUUAAUUCGAUGAUACGCGAGGAACCUUACCAGGGCUUAAAUGUAGAUUGACAGGACUAGAGAUAGUUUUUCCUUCGGGCAAUUUACAAG